CAGUCGCCGCGGUAAUACAGAGGGUGCGAGCGUUAAUCGGAUUUACUGGGCGUAAAGCGUGCGUAGGCGGCUUCUUAAGUCGGAUGUGAAAUCCCUGAGCUUAACUUAGGAAUUGCAUUCGAUACUGCGAAGCUAGAGUAUGGGAGAGGAUGGUAGAAUUCCAGGUGUAGCGGUGAAAUGCGUAGAGAUCUGGAGGAAUACCGAUGGCGAAGGCAGCCAUCUGGCCUAAUACUGACGCUGAGGUACGAAAGCAUGGGGAGCAAACAGGAUUAGAUACCCCUGUAGUCCCUGUCUCUUAUAC
RNAcentral lists this ribosomal RNA (301 nucleotides) under uncultured bacterium. RNAcentral's name for it is "partial 16S ribosomal RNA". It matches the Rfam family "Bacterial small subunit ribosomal RNA", at positions 509 to 807 of the family's 1533-position model. The record is from RNAcentral.